This 254-nucleotide ribosomal RNA is filed under the name uncultured bacterium. Its description in RNAcentral is "partial 16S ribosomal RNA". It matches the Rfam family "Bacterial small subunit ribosomal RNA", at positions 524 to 776 of the family's 1533-position model. The record is from RNAcentral.
UACAGAGGGGGCAAGCGUUGUUCGGAAUUACUGGGCGUAAAGGGCGCGUAGGCGGCCUGCUAAGUCGAACGUGAAAUCCCUGGGCUCAACCCAGGAACUGCGUCCGAUACUGGUUGGCUUGAAUCCGGGAGAGGGACGUGGAAUUCCAGGUGUAGCGGUGAAAUGCGUAGAUAUCUGGAGGAACACCGGUGGCGAAGGCGGCAUCCUGGACCAAUUCUGACGCUGAGUGAGCGAAAGCCAGGGGAGCAAACGGG